This 1378-nucleotide ribosomal RNA is filed under the name Promustilia yajiangensis. RNAcentral describes it as "16S ribosomal RNA". Lineage: Eukaryota; Metazoa; Arthropoda; Insecta; Lepidoptera; Endromidae. The record is from RNAcentral.
GGGGCAAAAUUAAUAAUUUAAAGGGUAAUAAAAAAAAUUUUAAUAUUAUAAUAAUUUAAUGGGGGUUAAAGUAUUUUUAAUAGAAAAAAUUUAAAUUUUUAUAGUAAAAUAGUAUUGUGAAAGAAUUUUGAAAUAUUUUGAAAUUAAAUUUAUUAAAAAGUAAAUUUAAUUUAUUGUAUCUUGGGUAUCAGAGUUUAUUAAAAAUUUUUUAUUGUGUAAUAAAUUUCUCGAAUUUAAAAGAGAUAGUUAAUUAAAAAAGUUAUUGUUGUAUAAAUAUUUUUAAUAAUUAAUUUGAAAUGAAAUGUUAAUCGUUUUUAAAUAUAUCUAGUUUUUUUAGAAUAAAAUUUAAUUUUUAAUUUUAAAUUAAAAUUUAUUAAUUAAUUUAAUUUAUUUUAAUAUAAAAUUUUAUAUUUUAAGGGAUAAGCUUUAAAUUAAAUUUUUAUAAUAAUUUUCAUUUAAUUAUUAAAAUUUUUAUAAUUUAUAUUGUUAAUAAAUUAUAUUUUGUUAUAAAUAAUUUUAUUAAAUUUAAAAUUUAAUUUAAUAUUUAAUUUUUUAUAAAAAAAUAAAUUAUAAUUUUUUAUGUUUAAAUAUUAUGAUAAAAUUAGUAUAUAAAAAUAAAUUAAAUUAUUUAAUUUUAAUUUAAAUUAAUUUAAAGGAAUUCGGCAAAAUUUUAUAUUCACUUGUUUAUCAAAAACAUGUCUUUUUGAUAAUAAUUUAAAGUCUAAUCUGCCCACUGAUAUUAAUUAAAGGGCUGCAGUAUUUUGACUGUACAAAGGUAGCAUAAUCAUUAGUCUCUUAAUUGGUGACUUGUAUGAAAGAUUGGAUGAAAUAUAUACUGUCUUUAAAUUAUAUUAUUGAAUUUAAUUUUUUAGUUAAAAAGCUCAAAUAAAUUAAAAAGACGAGAAGACCCUAUAGAGUUUUAUAAUUUUUAUAAAUUAAUUUUAUUUAUAAAUUUUAUAAUUUUAAUUUAUAAAAAUUAUUUUAUUGGGGUGAUAAAAAAAUUAAAUAAACUUUUUUUAAAAAAUUUCAUUAAUAAGUGAUUAAAUGAUCCAAUUUUAUUGAUUAUAAGAUUAAAUUACCUUAGGGAUAACAGCGUAAUUUUUUUUUUUAGUUCAAAUAAAAAAAAAAGUUUGCGACCUCGAUGUUGGAUUAAGAUAAAAUUUAUAUGCAAAAGUAUAAAAUUUUGAUCUGUUCGAUCAUUAAAAUCUUACAUGAUCUGAGUUCAAACCGGUGUAAGCCAGGUUGGUUUCUAUCUUUUAAAAAAAAAAAUAUUUUAGUACGAAAGGAUCAAAUAUUUUAAUUAAAUUAUUUAAUACUUGAAUUUUAUUAAUUUUUAAUAAAAAUUUUUAAUAUUAUUAAAUAUUUAAUAAUAUAUAUA